Molecule: ribosomal RNA, 306 nt
Filed under: uncultured Glomus
Lineage: Eukaryota; Fungi; Glomeromycota; Glomeromycetes; Glomerales; Glomeraceae
Description: SSU rRNA
Rfam family: Eukaryotic small subunit ribosomal RNA
Source: RNAcentral
AGCAGCCGCGGUAAUUCCAGCUCCAAUAGCGUAUAUUAAAGUUGUUGCAGUUAAAAAGCUCGUAGUUGAAUUUCGGGAUCAAAGGAUCGGUCAUGCCUUGGUAUGUACUGGUUUUAUUGGUUCUCACCUUCUAAAGAACCAUAAUGUCAUUCAUUUGAUGUAUGGGAAUUAGGACUGUUACCUUGAAAAAUUGAGUGUUUAAAGCAGGCUUACGCUUGAAUACAUUAGCAUGGAAUAAUGAAAUAGGACAUCAGAUUCUAUUUUUGUUGGUUUCUAGGAUCGAUGUAAUGAUUAAUAGGGAUAGUU